RNAcentral lists this small RNA (32 nucleotides) under Bombyx mori (domestic silkworm). Its description in RNAcentral is "ovarian small RNA-16085". The record is from RNAcentral. Lineage: Eukaryota; Metazoa; Arthropoda; Insecta; Lepidoptera; Bombycidae.
GAUAUUUGCUCGGUAGACCGACGCGACGGUCC